CCUACGGGAGGCUGCAGUGGGGAAUAUUGGGCAAUGGGCGCAAGCCUGACCCAGCAACGCCGCGGGAAGGAAGAAGGCUUUCGGGUGGUAAACGUCGGGUGACAGGGAAGAGGAGAAGACGGUACCUGUCGAAUAAGCCACGGCUAACUACGGGCCAGCAGCCGCGGUAAUACGUAGGUGGCAAGCGUUGUCCGGAUUUACUGGGUGUAAAGGGCGUGUAGCCGGGUUGACCAGGCAGAUGUGAAAUCCUGCGGCUUAACCGCAGAACUGCAUUUGAAACUGUUGAUCUUGAGUACUGUAGAGGCAGCCGGAAUUCCUCGUGUAGCUGUGACAUGCGUAGCUCUUAGGAGGCACACCAGUGGCGAAGGCGGUCUGCUGGACAGCAACUGCCGGUGCGGCGCUACAGCGUUGGGAGCAAACCGGCUUAGAUCCCCUGGUAGUC
RNAcentral lists this ribosomal RNA (442 nucleotides) under uncultured bacterium. RNAcentral describes it as "partial 16S ribosomal RNA". It matches the Rfam family "Bacterial small subunit ribosomal RNA", at positions 338 to 795 of the family's 1533-position model. The record is from RNAcentral.